CAACCUCAACUCAUAUGGGACUACCCCCUGAAUUUAAGCAUAUUAAUUAGGGGAGGAAAAGAAACUAACAAGGAUUUUCUUAGUAGCGGCGAGCGAAAAGAAAUCAGUUCAGCACUAAGUCACUUUGUCUAUAUGGCAAAUGUGAGAUGCAGUGUACGGAACAUCAACAUUCUAGUAUGAGAAGUUAACGAUUUAAGUCCUUCUUAAAUGAGGCCAUUUACCCAUAGAGGGUGCCAGGCCCGUAUAACGUUAAUGAUUACUAGAUGGUGUUUCCAAAGAGUCGUGUUGCUUGAUAGUGCAGCACUAAGUGGGUGGUAAACUCCAUCUAAAACUAAAUAUAACCAUGAGACCGAUAGUAAACAAGUACCGUGAGGGAAAGUUGAAAAGAACUCUGAAUAGAGAGUUAAAUAGUACGUGAAACUGCUUAGAGGUUAAGCCCGAUGAACCUGAAUAUCCGUUAUGGAAAAUUCAUCAUUAGAAUUGUAAUAUUUUAAACAAUAUUAUAAUAAUAGUGUGCAUUUUUUCCAUAUAAGGACAUUGUAAUCUAUUAGCAUAAAU
RNAcentral lists this non-coding RNA (558 nucleotides) under Drosophila virilis. Its description in RNAcentral is "Eukaryotic large subunit ribosomal RNA". It matches the Rfam family "Eukaryotic large subunit ribosomal RNA", at positions 1 to 542 of the family's 3401-position model. Lineage: Eukaryota; Metazoa; Arthropoda; Insecta; Diptera; Drosophilidae. The record is from Rfam by way of RNAcentral.